GUUUGUUUGAGCUUUUCGCAUACGCAAUCCGGCGAACAAUACUCUCAAAGUUUGACCUCAAAUCAGGUAGGAAUACCCGCUGAACUUAAGCAUAUCAAUAAGCGGAGGAAAAGAAACCAACCGGGAUUGCCUUAGUAACGGCGAGUGAAGCGGCAAAAGCUCAAAUUUGAAAUCUGGUACCUUCGGUGCCCGAGUUGUAAUUUGUAGAAGGUAACUUUGGGGCUGGUCCUUGUCUAUGUUCCUUGGAACAGGACGUCAUAGAGGGUGAGAAUCCCGUGUGGCGAGGAUCCCAGUUCUUUGUAAAGUGCUUUCGAAGAGUCGAGUUGUUUGGGAAUGCAGCUCUAAGUGGGUGGUAAAUUCCAUCUAAAGCUAAAUAUUGGCGAGAGACCGAUAGCGAACAAGUACAGUGAUGGAAAGAUGAAAAGAACUUUGAAAAGAGAGUGAAAAAGUACGUGAAAUUGUUGAAAGGGAAGGGCAUUUGAUCAGACAUGGUGUUUUGCGCCCUCUGCUCCUUGUGGGUGGGGGAAUCUCGCAGCUCACUGGGCCAGCAUCAGUUUUGGCGGCAGGAUAAAUCUGCAGGAAUGUAGCUUGCCUCGGUAAGUGUUAUAUCCUGUAGAAAUACUGCCAGCUGGGACUGAGGACUGCGAC
RNAcentral lists this ribosomal RNA (648 nucleotides) under Torulaspora delbrueckii. RNAcentral describes it as "eukaryotic LSU rRNA". It matches the Rfam family "Eukaryotic large subunit ribosomal RNA", at positions 1 to 600 of the family's 3401-position model. The record is from RNAcentral. Lineage: Eukaryota; Fungi; Ascomycota; Saccharomycetes; Saccharomycetales; Saccharomycetaceae.